CAGUCGUUCAAGAUGGGACUGCGGCCGAUCAGGUAGUUGCGGGUAAUGGCCCACCAAGCCUAUAACCCGGUGCGGGCUUUGAGAGGAGGAGCCCGGAGAUGGACACUGAGACAAGGGUCCAGGCCCUACGGGGCGCAGCAGGCGCGAAACCUUCACAAUGCGCGAAAGCGCGAUGAGGCUAUACCGAGUGUCAUCCGCUGAGGGUGACUUUUCCUCGAUCUAAAACAUCGAGGGAAUAAGGGGAGGGCAAGCCUGGUGUCAGCCGCCGCGGUAAUACCAGCUCCCCGAGUGGUCGGGACGAUUAUUGGGCCUAAAGCAUCCGUAGCCGGCUUCACAGGUCUCUUGUUAAAUCCAACGGCUCAACCGUUGGACUGCAGGGGAUACCAUGGAGCUAGGGGGCGGGAGAGGCGGACGGUACUCCAUGGGUAGGGGUAAAAUCCUUUGAUCCAUGGAAGACCACCAGUGGCGAAGGCGGUCCGCUAGAACGCGCCCGACGGUGAGGGAUGAAAGCUGGGGGAGCGAACCGGAUUAGAUACCCGGGUAGUCCCAGCCGUAAACGAUGCAGGCUAGGUGAUAGAGAGGCUAUACGCCUUUCUAGUGCCGCAGGGAAGCCGAUAAGCCUGCCGCCUGGGGAGUACGGCCGCAAGACUGAAACUUAAAGGAAUUGGCGGGGGAGCACCACAAGGGGUGAAGCCUGCGGUUCAAUUGGAGUCAACGCCGGAAACCUUACCAAGGGUGACAGCAGGAUGAAGGUCACUCUAAAGAAAUUACCAGACGAGCUGAGAGGAGGUGCAUGGCCGUCGCCAGCUCGUGCCGUGAGGCGUCCUGUUAAGUCAGGAAACGAGCGAGACCCCCACUGCAAGUUGCUAUCAUUACCCGAAAGGGUGAUGGGGCUAAUUUGCAGGACCGCCAUCGCUAAGAUGGAGGAAGGAGGGGGCCACGGCAGGUCAGUAUGCCCCGAAACCCUUGGGCCACACGCGGGCUGCAAUGAUAGGGACAACGGGCCCCGACCUCGAAAGAGGAAGGAAAUCCUCAAACCCUAUCCCAGUUAUGACUGAGGGCUGCAACCCGCCCUCACGAAUCUGGAAUCCCUAGUAACCGCACGUCACUACCGCGCGGUGAAUACGUCCCUGCUCCUU
RNAcentral lists this ribosomal RNA (1139 nucleotides) under uncultured archaeon. RNAcentral's name for it is "bacterial SSU rRNA". It matches the Rfam family "Archaeal small subunit ribosomal RNA", at positions 196 to 1338 of the family's 1478-position model. The record is from RNAcentral.